Molecule: ribosomal RNA, 434 nt
Filed under: uncultured Blautia sp.
Lineage: Bacteria; Bacillati; Bacillota; Clostridia; Lachnospirales; Lachnospiraceae
Description: partial 16S ribosomal RNA
Rfam family: Bacterial small subunit ribosomal RNA
Source: RNAcentral
ACGGAAGGCAGCAGUGGGGGAUAUUGCACAAUGGGGGAAACCCUGAUGCAGCGACGCCGCGUGAGUGAAGAAGUUAUUCGUAAUGUAAAGCUCUAUCAGCAGGGAAGAAAAUGACGGUACCUGACUAAGAAGCCCCGGCUAACUACGUGCCAGCAGCCGCGGUAAUACGUAGGGGGCAAGCGUUAUCCGGAUUUACUGGGUGUAAAGGGAGCGUAGACGGUCUAGCAAGUCUGAUGUGAAAGGCAGGGGCUUAACUCCUGGACUGCAUUGGAAACUGUUAGUCUUGAGUGUCGGAGAGGUAAGCGGAAUUCCUAGUGUAGCGGUGAAAUGCGUAGAUAUUAGGAGGAACACCAGUGGCGAAGGCGGCUUACUGGACGAUUACUGACGCUGAGGCUCGAAAGCGCGGGGAGCAAACAGGAUUAGAUACCCUGGUA